RNAcentral lists this ribosomal RNA (496 nucleotides) under uncultured archaeon. RNAcentral's name for it is "bacterial SSU rRNA". It matches the Rfam family "Archaeal small subunit ribosomal RNA", at positions 506 to 997 of the family's 1478-position model. The record is from RNAcentral.
GGGUCUAAAGGGUCCGUAGCCGGUUGGUCGAGUCCUCCGGGAAAUCUGAUAGCUCAACUAUUAGGCUUUCGGGGGAUACUGCCAGACUUGGAACCGGGAGAGGUAAGAGGUACUACAGGGGUAGGAGUGAAAUCUUGUAAUCCCUGUGGGACCACCUGUGGCGAAGGCGUCUUACCAGAACGGGUUCGACGGUGAGGGACGAAAGCUGGGGGCACGAACCGGAUUAGAUACCCGGGUAGUCCCAGCCGUAAACGAUGCUCGCUAGGUGUCAGGCAUGGCGCGACCGUGUCUGGUGCCGCAGGGAAGCCGUGAAGCGAGCCACCUGGGAAGUACGGCCGCAAGGCUGAAACUUAAAGGAAUUGGCGGGGGAGCACAACAACGGGUGGGAAGCCUGCGGUUUAAUUGGACUCAACGCCGGACAACUCACCGGGGGCGACAGCAAUAUGUAGGCCAAGCUGAAGACUUUGCCUGAAUCGCUGAGAGGGGUGGUGCAUGG